UGCAGUCGAGCGGAAACGACACUAACAAUCCUUCGGGUGCGUUAAUGGGCGUCGAGCGGCGGACGGGUGAGUAAUGCCUAGGAAAUUGCCUUGAUGUGGGGGAUAACCAUUGGAAACGAUGGCUAAUACCGCAUAAUGCCUACGGGCCAAAGAGGGGGACCUUCGGGCCUCUCGCGUCAAGAUAUGCCUAGGUGGGAUUAGCUAGUUGGUGAGGUAAUGGCUCACCAAGGCGACGAUCCCUAGCUGGUCUGAGAGGAUGAUCAGCCACACUGGAACUGAGACACGGUCCAGACUCCUACGGGAGGCAGCAGUGGGGAAUAUUGCACAAUGGGCGAAAGCCUGAUGCAGCCAUGCCGCGUGUAUGAAGAAGGCCUUCGGGUUGUAAAGUACUUUCAGUUGUGAGGAAGGGGGUAGUGUUAAUAGCGCUAUCUCUUGACGUUAGCAACAGAAGAAGCACCGGCUAACUCCGUGCCAGCAGCCGCGGUAAUACGGAGGGUGCGAGCGUUAAUCGGAAUUACUGGGCGUAAAGCGCAUGCAGGUGGUUCAUUAAGUCAGAUGUGAAAGCCCGGGGCUCAACCUCGGAACUGCAUUUGAAACUGGUAAACUAGAGA
RNAcentral lists this ribosomal RNA (611 nucleotides) under uncultured Vibrio sp. RNAcentral describes it as "bacterial SSU rRNA". It matches the Rfam family "Bacterial small subunit ribosomal RNA", at positions 56 to 647 of the family's 1533-position model. The record is from RNAcentral. Lineage: Bacteria; Pseudomonadati; Pseudomonadota; Gammaproteobacteria; Vibrionales; Vibrionaceae.